RNAcentral lists this ribosomal RNA (497 nucleotides) under uncultured bacterium. RNAcentral's name for it is "partial 16S ribosomal RNA". It matches the Rfam family "Bacterial small subunit ribosomal RNA", at positions 28 to 507 of the family's 1533-position model. The record is from RNAcentral.
GAUGAACGCUGGCGGCGUGCCUAAUACAUGCAAGUCGAGCGAACAGACGAGGAGCUUGCUCCUCUGACGUUAGCGGCGGACGGGUGAGUAACACGUGGAUAACCUACCUAUAAGACUGGGAUAACUUCGGGAAACCGGAGCUAAUACCGGAUAAUAUAUUGAACCGCAUGGUUCAAUAGUGAAAGACGGUUUUGCUGUCACUUAUAGAUGGAUCCGCGCCGCAUUAGCUAGUUGGUAAGGUAACGGGUUACCAAGGCAACGAUGCGUAGCCGACCUGAGAGGGUGAUCGGCCACACUGGAACUGAGACACGGUCCAGACUCCUACGGGAGGCAGCAGUAGGGAAUCUUACGCAAUGGGCGAAAGCCUGACGGAGCAACGCCGCGUGAGUGAUGAAGGUCUUCGGAUCGUAAAACUCUGUUAUUAGGGAAGAACAAAUGUGUAAGUAACUAUGCACGUCUUGACGGUACCUAAUCAGAAAGCCACGGCUAACUACGUG